Long non-coding RNA from Ictalurus punctatus (channel catfish), 2053 nucleotides. Lineage: Eukaryota; Metazoa; Chordata; Actinopteri; Siluriformes; Ictaluridae. The record is from Ensembl.
GCUCUUUAUUUCUUUAUUUUAGUCUUUAUUGGUCACCUAUACAUUAGAGCACAGUGAAAUUCUUUUCCUCGCAUGCCCCAGCCUGUCAGAGUGCGGUCAGGUAGGCUUCAAAAUCCUAUGAAUCUUAUCUUUUAUUAUCAUCUUAGCUUUAUAAUAUAUAUAUUUAUAAUUCGUUUCAUCAUCUGAUUUAUUCCUUCUUCCAAUCUCUGUCCAUCAGGGCGUUUGCUAAUUGUAUGCCCCUGUUGGAAGUGGAGGACAUGAUGAUCAUGGGUAAGAGGCCUGACUCCAAGUGCGUCUUCACCUACGUGCAGUCGCUGGUCAAUCACCUGCGCAGAUACGAGAUGACGUGUCGAGCACGCUCGGAUCACUGAGCGCUUACUUCCACCCCGAAGACCGACGCCACCAUGUUGUUGUUGUUGUUGUUGUUGUUGUUGUUGUUGUUGUUGUUUUUCCUCAUCAUAUCCCACGUUUCAAUUGCAACGAACCAAAGCACGAGAUCACCGCCUGGCGAGUAUCGCUAUAGUGCUUUACAGCAUUCAAAUGUGUUUAAAAAGAAAUGGUUUGAAACUUUUUUUUACAUUUUUUAUUUAAAAAUCAGCUAAAAAAAAGAAACGACAAUGUUUCAUUUAGAAUCCCAGAAAAGAUGCUUAUUUUAUUUCUAUGCCAGUGGCGUUUAGCUAACAUUUUAACGGCUCGUCGCGUUUAUUCUGUGGUACUGUAGCCGAUCGAGGAAUCUGAUGUGCAUGCUUCACCCUUUUGUUUACUUGAAUUUCCUUUAGAGCUGCUUUCGCUGAUAGGGCACGAGUGACCUGAAGUCUGCUGUAAGCCGCGCCGAUCCGACGCGAUACGAUCUCUCACCGCUUUGUAUCUGAACAGCGCCUCCCCGUGCCCAAACAGCGACGCUACUCGGCCCUGAUUUAAAGCAGACUCUCCUGUUUAAAAAACAAAAUGCUGAUCGAUCCGAGGACAGGCUUCCACUCCAUAGUAGGAGAGGAGGAACUGUUUCAGCACGGGGGGAUUACGCAACAUACCACACCAUUACCACAGCCGCACAGACGCCCGAAACACUCACUCACAUGUACAGACGAGCACCGUGUUCCUGCCAUUUCUGCUUCACUUUUUACACUCGUGGAGUUUAUCGUCUCUAUUAAUAUUCAUAAACUCUGCUCUGAUGGAGAUUUGAAUUUGACAAACGGGCUCAUCAAUCCCACACGUUUCCACCCUGGAUACAGAGAGAAAUGUUUCAGCCGUGCAUAUCCUGGCUCUAGCACUUUUUUAUUUUAUUAUUAUUUUUAAUCCAAGAUGAAUUACGCUUACCAGGAGCAUGCAAAACUGUUUUUUAUCUAUAUAUUUAUAUAUAUUUGAGCAAGUUUGUAACUAUGGGCUUGAUUACUGAUCUGCAAAAAAAGAUAUUUCAAAAAGAAAUGACUGAUUGACAGGGCAGAGUUCAUUUGCUGUAGCUGAGAAUUCAGUUAUUGUGCCAAUAAGCUGUCGUUUUGUUAACUAGCAUUUAAAAAAAAAACAAAAAAAAAAACAACACUAUACAAAAAUGUAAUACCGUAACGUGUUGUGUUUUUUUUUUUGUCCGUCUUAGCCGGGUCUUUUGUUUUGGAGUCAUUUUCUCAAAUUAUUCUACACUAACUUUUCUUCUCAAGUAGAAACAUUGUGCUGUAAAUUCAUGCUUGCAUGAAGGAGAGCGAGUCUGAGAAGGUGCCCAAGCUCUGCUCUUCCUCUCGUACAGUAGCCGGUGCACUGUUCUACUUUAUUAUGGAGCAGAGAGGAGCGAGAUCAGGCCGUCUCCCCAUUCUCCCCACUCUGCCCCCCUCAGAAAACAGGACUUCAAUUGAAAUCUGAAGCCUUCGCAUGAGCAGCAUGUUUUACUAGACACUGUUAUUACUGAUAAGCUUCUUACGUUCUAAGCUAGCGUUUUAUUCCACACGAUAGAUUACUCAAUAACACUGUGUAUAUUGGCUACAAUCAUUUUGUUUUCAUGUGUUUGCGCCUAGGAAUAUUGUUCACAGCAUUUCUGUACACUGCGAAUGAAUAUGAAGAA